Molecule: long non-coding RNA, 1042 nt
Organism: Cotesia glomerata
Lineage: Eukaryota; Metazoa; Arthropoda; Insecta; Hymenoptera; Braconidae
Exons: 3
Source: RefSeq, a predicted model, not a curated record
GAAGUGAUUAGUGCAAUGAAUUGAAAGUGGAAAAAUUGAUCGGUAUCCAACUAAAAAAUAUCUUUCUAACCGCGAGAGCUCCAAUCUAUUGAAAAUCAAGAACUUUCAUCAUGAGUUUAGAAAAAAAUUUACGAAAACCGAUGUUUUUAUUGGAAAACCUUACGGAUGAUAUAAAUAGUAAUAAAUUAGCUACUGAUGAACAAGCUUUAAGGUUACUAUUUUAUUAUACUAAAAACGUGAAAAUAACAGUGUGCGAUGGAUGUAAAAUAACUAUUGAAAAAGUUAAAAAGUUUUGGAUAUUUGCUCGUAUUUUUAUUUUAGAUGACAAACGAUGUAUUUAAAAAUUGUAAAAAUUGCACGAUGAAUACAGAAAUCUGCAUAAAAAUGCAGGUGUGUCCUCAAACCAACAAAAAGAGCAAGAGUUUUCAAUUAAAUUAUAAAGUUUAUUUGACAUAGCUCACGGCAGAGUUUUUGAAAUGGUCAGCAAUGAUAUAAAAACUUUUUAAUCGAUCAACGAUCAGAAAGAUAAUUCCAUCUGAAUUUUUCGGACAAUCAACGAGGAAAUGUAAUUGAUUUAUCUGAAACAAGAUCAUGAUCGCCCUACUGAAGUAUCAACUUCUGAUAAUCCACUUGUUGUAAAUGAUAAUCGGUCCAUCGAAGUGUUAACCUCUAAAAACAUUAAAGCAGCAUCUUGUUAUAUAGAACACCAGUUGAACGAUUCUGAAUUAUCAAGAGAAAAUUCAGAAAACUAUUUGCCAUUGCGUUUGACAAGCGCGGGUGGAUCAAUGUCUAGUGGGGAAGCAUUAACUUUUUCUUGAUGAUGAUUAUAUAAAAGGAUAAGAGAUUGCUAUCAAGAUUAAAGUUGUUAAUGAUGUAGCGGAGAGAGAGAGAGCUGUACAAUUGGCUCAAGAAUGUAUAAAUAUGGUAGCUAAAGAUGAGAAUCAAAAACAAUAUCUUCUCCAGGUGAUAAAAAAGUAUAAGAAUGAAUUUUCAAAUGCUACUAAGGAAUGCCUGACAACAAAAAUAAAAGUUCAAUAAUUAA